RNAcentral lists this ribosomal RNA (271 nucleotides) under bacterium a6(2011). RNAcentral's name for it is "partial small subunit ribosomal RNA". It matches the Rfam family "Bacterial small subunit ribosomal RNA", at positions 412 to 675 of the family's 1533-position model. The record is from RNAcentral.
AGGCCUUCGGGUUGUAAACUGCUUUUGUACGGAACGAAAAGGCUCGCUUUAAUACAGUGGGCCCAUGACGGUACCGUAAGAAUAAGCACCGGCUAACUACGUGCCAGCAGCCGCGGUAAUACGUAGGGUGCGAGCGUUAAUCGGAAUUACUGGGCGUAAAGCGUGCGCAGGCGGUGAUGUAAGACAGUUGUGAAAUCCCCGGGCUCAACCUGGGAAUUGCAUCUGUGACUGCAUCGCUAGAGUACGGUAGAGGGGGAUGGAAUUCCGCGUG